UACGUAGGGGGCAAGCGUUGUCCGGAUUUAUUGGGCGUAAAGAGCGUGUAGGCGGUUAGGUAGGUCCGUUGUGAAAACUCGAGGCUCAACCUCGAGACGCCGAUGGAAACCCCCUAACUAGAGUCCGGAAGAGGAGAGUGGAAUUCCUGGUGUAGCGGUGAAAUGCGCAGAUAUCAGGAAGAACACCCGUGGCUAAGGCGGCUCUCUAGUACGGUACUGACGCGGAGACGCGAAAGCGUGGGGAGCGAACAGG
RNAcentral lists this ribosomal RNA (253 nucleotides) under uncultured bacterium. RNAcentral's name for it is "partial 16S ribosomal RNA". It matches the Rfam family "Bacterial small subunit ribosomal RNA", at positions 524 to 776 of the family's 1533-position model. The record is from RNAcentral.